AUUGAACGCUGGCGGCAUGCCUAACACAUGCAAGUCGAACGGAUAGCGGACGGGUGAGUAAUUUCUGGGAAACUGCCUGAUGGAGGGGGAUAACUACUGGAAACGGUAGAUAAAACCGCAUACCAUCGGAUGUGCCCAGAUGGGAUUAGCUAGUAGGUGGGGUAACGGAUAACCUAGGCGUCGAUCCCUAGCUGGUCUGAGAGGAUGACCAGCCACACUGGAACUGAGACACGGUCCAGACUCCUACGGGAGGCAGCAGUGGGGAAUAUUGCACAAUGGGCGAAAGCCUGACGCAGCCAUGCCGCGUGUAUGAAGAAGGCCUUCGGGUUGUAAAGUACUGUCAGCGGGGAGGCGUUACCCGAAGAAGAAGCACCGGCUAACUCCGUGCCAGCAGCCGCGGUAAUAC
This 406-nucleotide ribosomal RNA is filed under the name uncultured bacterium. RNAcentral's name for it is "partial 16S ribosomal RNA". It matches the Rfam family "Bacterial small subunit ribosomal RNA", at positions 30 to 526 of the family's 1533-position model. The record is from RNAcentral.